Molecule: ribosomal RNA, 254 nt
Filed under: uncultured bacterium
Lineage: Bacteria
Description: partial 16S ribosomal RNA
Rfam family: Bacterial small subunit ribosomal RNA
Source: RNAcentral
UACAGAGGGGGCGAGCGUUGUUCGGAGUUACUGGGCGUAAAGGGCGUGUAGGCGGUUGUUUAAGUUUGGUGUGAAAUCUCCCGGCUCAACUGGGAGGGUGCGCCGAAUACUGAAUGACUUGGAGUGCGGGAGAGGUGAGUGGAAUUCCUGGUGUAGCGGUGAAAUGCGUAGAUAUCAGGAGGAACACCGGUGGUGUAGACGGCUCACUGGACCGUAACUGACGCUGAGACACGAAAGCGUGGGUAGCAAACAGG